CAGCAGCCGCGGGAAUACAGAGGGUGCGAGCGUUAAUCGGAUUUACUGGGCGUAAAGCGUGCGUAGGCGGCUUCUUAAGUCGGAUGUGAAAUCCCUGAGCUUAACUUAGGAAUUGCAUUCGAUACUGGGAAGCUAGAGUAUGGGAGAGGAUGGUAGAAUUCCAGGUGUAGCGGUGAAAUGCGUAGAGAUCUGGAGGAAUACCGAUGGCGAAGGCAGCCAUCUGGCCUAAUACUGACGCUGAGGUACGAAAGCAUGGGGAGCAAACAGGAUUAGAUACCCCAGUAGUCCCUGUAUCUUAUAC
RNAcentral lists this ribosomal RNA (301 nucleotides) under uncultured bacterium. RNAcentral describes it as "partial 16S ribosomal RNA". It matches the Rfam family "Bacterial small subunit ribosomal RNA", at positions 509 to 807 of the family's 1533-position model. The record is from RNAcentral.